RNAcentral lists this unclassified non-coding RNA (5621 nucleotides) under Hevea brasiliensis (rubber tree). The record is from RNAcentral. Lineage: Eukaryota; Viridiplantae; Streptophyta; Magnoliopsida; Malpighiales; Euphorbiaceae.
GGGAUUGAGGAUUAGUGUAAGUUGAACCUUAUAAAUGUCAAAUCUGUUUCAUAUUCGCAGAAUAUAGAAAGGUAUAGAAAGCAUAAGUGUCACAUAUGGCAUAAAGACAGCCAGAGGUAGUGAAAGACUAAUUACAGAAGGGCAAGCACCAAGACCAUGGCAUAGGGCGGUAUAGAUGGCCACAAAACUUGCAAGGACAGCCAAACAGUCCACUAAACAUGGACAACAUCUUCUCCAAACAGAAAAAUGGUCAUCAGAAAAGCAAGAACAUCUCAUCAAGGUUGAGUUUCAUCACAAAAGCAAGAACGUCAUCGAAACUUGAGUUUCCAAAACAGAAGAAAUUCAAAGAAACUUGUCAAGACUUCAUAAUUGAUUUCCUUCGACAACAGUCAACUCUUUUUUACCCUAGAAUAAUUGGAAGAUGAAUGUCGUGACAUGACCGAGCAGUAGCAUGAAGAGUCUUCAAGAUGAAUUAAUAUCAGUGAUAUCAGAAGAUAACAUGAAUGGAAUGUGAUGGUGAAAAUGAUUAACCCUGUGAACCAGAGUUUGGACCGCGCCCACCACGACCACUGCGCCCACUGCGACCUCGAAGAACUCGCCCACGGCCUCUUGCUGGUGUAGCGGAAAGCAUAGCAGCUUGCCUAAUGGAAGCCCUUUCUCUAGCCCUCUCAUUUAGGUUUAUAGUUCUUGAGCUCCUAUUGAUAGGUGAAACCUGUUUCCCUUCUUCUGUUUCAGCAGCAGCACUUUCAUCCAGACCCCCUUCUUUUGAAUUGCUACUAUCAACUGGACUGCUUGAUGGUUUCUCACCAGUAACAGUAUCCAGAGCCUGAUCAGUUUCUGCAGCAACCUGGUCACCACCAUCAUUCAACUUCUCAGAACUUUCAGCUAGCUCUUCUGUCGCAUCAACUUCAUCAUUCUUAUCGUCAUCUGGGAGCUGAGAAGAUUCUAUCUCCCCGGGGUCUGUUGGAGUAAGCAAGAGGUCUUCAUCAGUACCAGCUAAGUCAUCAGUCUGAGGUUCCAAAUUUUCUGGGCUUCCCAUUGAUAAAAUGCUAUCAAGGUUUCCAACAUCUUCAGGAUCAGCAAUUAGCUCUCCCUCUUCCCUUUCAUCCAUCGCUAGCUGCUCGCUCUCUUGUUGCACCUGUGACUCAGCCUGAUUUGUUGCAACAACUAACGGCUCUUCAACCUGCUCGCCAGAAAGUGUAGUCUCAUCCUUCUCAAUAUCACUAGCUUCCUCUUUCAAACCUUGGGUUUCAUCUCCAGCAUCAUGUUCCUCCGUAGUAGGCAGAGAUUCUGAAUUUUCUACAUUAUCAACAGAUUUAUCUUCACCGCCCUCUUGAGGUGCCUCUAGAUGUUUGGACUUCUUAAGCACAGGUUGAGCCACAUCUAAGCAGGUUUCAUCCAUGGCAGGAGUCUCUUCUUGUAACUCUGAGGUAGAGGAGGUAGAGGCUGCAGAUAGGCGCUUGCGAAUUGGUGGUUGAGUUGGUAAUGUGGCAUUAUCAAGAUUUUCUGCCUUUUGAGGUGGCAAAUGCUUCCUACUGUUGGUGGAUUCAUCUGUAUCUUGCAUCUCUACAUCAACUAAAGGUUCCUCCGGCUUUGUGAUGCGUGGUCGAACCAACUUCCUUCCGGUUUUACGAGUUUCGGAGGUUAUCUUCGAUAAAACAAGUCUUCUUUCUUCUUCUGCUUUUCCAACUGCAGGAAUGGAAGUCACCAAGCUAGCUGGUGGCGGAAGCGUAGCUGCUGGGCCUGGAACAACAGAGGCAGAAAGAGAAGCAUCUGGAGCAGAAGCAUCACCAGCACCAGAAACCCCGAGCUCAUUACGUGCAACCCGUUCAAAGUCAUCUACAGCCUGAAGAUAUGCAGCAGUAAAAUCGUCCAAGUGAGUCCCCGAAAGUAGUUGAUCCACUGACGUGCCCUCCGUUUGACUGCCUUUGGUUUGCCUUAUCUUCUCAACUUCAUCAGUAAGCAUCUUCAGAGCCUGCUUAUGCUUGUCGAUUUCAUCUGAUAGCUUGGACCGUUGCUGAUUCACAGCUCCAUAGGAAUCCCCUAUUGUCUUUUGCAUCUUCAAGCGCUUUGAUCUCUCUUGUUUCAACUCUUCUCUAAGUCGGUCUGUGAUCUUCUCAAGCCCCUGGAUUCUGGUGUUUUUCUCCUUUUCUUUAUCUUUCAAAGCCUGUUCAUCUGCAGCAUCAGCAGUUUUUUUCCCUUGUUUAGCAUCUUCCAACUGUUUGGAGAGAGCUUGAUUCUCUCUAGCCAAAUCAUCUUUUUCCUUUGAUAAGCUGUCUGCUCUUUCCUUUUCCUUCAACAAGUUGCUUUCAACCCUUUUCUUCAUUAGACCUGUCAACUUUUUAUGUUUAUCAACGUCGGAUCUCAGCGAGGCCUCAGUUUGCAGAAUCUCAUUGAUUCUCGAUUCUCUCUGACUCAAUUCUGUUCUGCUCCUUGACAGGUCUUGCUCUAAGUCAGCUAACAGAUUCUGCUGCUCAGACAUGGCUUUCUUAACUUUCUCCAGUUCUUCAUUUUUUUCUCUCAGAUUCACCUGCAUCUGUGAAGCAGCUUCUUUUAGACUUGCAUAUUCUUCUAGGUCAAAAUUCUUAUACCUCUCAACCAACUCACUAACCCUCCUCUCAAGCUUCUCUUUAUCCAGCUUCAGCAUUUCAAUCUCUUUCCUACAAGCUUCUACAUCAGCUUGUCUUUCAUUAAGAAGCUUCUCCAGAUCCUCUAAUUCAGUUUUCAUCUUCUGGGCAGCUUGGCGAAGUUUCUGGCAUUCUUCAACAUUGUGCUUGUUCUCCUCUCUCAACUGCAAGUUGCUUUCACGAAGUAAGUUCAAUUCUCUAACCUGAAGCUGCAGUGUUUUGAACUCCUCUUCACUUAAAACCUGAGCUCUUGAACUCUCCCGCUCAGAAUUAAGAGAUGCUUCUGCUACCUCCACUCUCCUCAGAGCAUUCUCAAGCUGUGAUUGCAACCUAAGUUUUUCCUGUCUGAGCAAAGAAAUUUCUGUUUCUGCAAUUUCCUUGGACCGUCUUAGAUAAUUCACAACAUUCAUCAGCCCGUCAUCACCCUCGGCCACUGUGCUUCCAGCAGAUACACCUGAAGAUACACGGUCCUUCUCAGCCAGUUUAAUAUACAAACCCUCAAGCCGGUCCAGUAAUAUUUUGUUCUGUUCAUUAGCCUCAGUGUAUUUCUUCUCAGCUUCAGUUUUUGAUACUUCUAGCACCGACAAUUCCGCCUCCCACUUGGCCUUCAAUGCAUUAUUUUCGGAUUUUAGAACAUCUGACAAUUUACGGAGCUCAGAUGACUCUUCUUGUAAGGUUGCCAAAGCUUGAGAUGUUCUAGUCAGUUCUUGAAUUGUUUCUGACUGCAGAAUUACCUGUCUCUCAUAAUUAUCUUGAGCAGCACGCCAUCUUUGAUGCUCUUUGUCCAAAUCAUCUUUCAAAGCAGAUAUUUGAGCCUCCAAAUUUGAGAUUUGUGACGUCUUAGCUGAGGUAUCUUCUUUCAGACUGGAUAUUUCAGCUAGAGCAGCAACAACAGCUUCUUCUUUUCCUGCAGUUGCGGAAGCUGCUUCAAUUGACUUCAAAUUACAUUCUCUCUCAAGCUCAUCAACAUUCUUCCUAAGCGCUAAUGCUUCCUCUUCCAUUGAUUUUUUCACUCUAUCAGCUUCUACUUUGAGGUUCUCAUAAGCCAAUUCCAUCUGCUUUAAUGCUUCUUCAUUUGCCUGAGCUAUGCUUUUAUAUUGCAGCAUAUGAUUUUUGUUAACCUGCACCUCCUCUCUGAGUCUUUUAACUUCUUCAGCAGAAUCCAUGUUGUCAAAAAGUUCAGUAGAAGAGGAAGGACCGCCUUCAUCAGCUCUUUCAGAAACCUUUUUUUGAAAAGCUUGCAAUUUUUCCUCUAAAUCAGCAGAUCGCGCUUCAGCAACAACAACUCUAGCUUCAGCAGCAGCUACAGAAUGUGAAGUGCUAGUCAUUUCCUUCCUCAUUUCCUCAAUUUGUCUCAAUGCAUUCUUUAGAGCAUCUUCUCGCUCAGGUAUAAGGUUUCGAACAUUAUCACGCUGUUCUUGCAAUUCUUUCUUAGCUUCAGCCCAUUCUUUCUCAAUAAGCUUGAUAUACUCUUCUUGCUUUCUCCUCUCAGCAGCUCUUGCCUCGUCACGAACGUUCUCAGUACUCUGCAAUGUAUCUAAAUGGACCUGCAAACUAUGCACCCUUUGUGACAAAUUACGUACUUCAUCUGAAGCUCUCUUUUCGGCAUUUACCAGCAUACCCUUUUCAUCCUUUAGAAUAGACACCUCCAGUUUCAGCUUUUGAGAAAGUUCCUCAGCAGCAUUCAAUGACUCGUAACUUUCUCGCAGCUUCUUCUGAUAGUCAACUACCAACUGUGAGAACUCAACAUUUCUCGUGAUCACACCAUUAUGCUCCUCUUUCUGGUGCUCAAAAUCUUUCAUAUACCUGUCAAGUUUAUCUCGAGCAAACUGUGCUUCCAGAGCUGACUUAUCCCGCUCUGAUCGAAGAGAAAUAAUCUCGCCCCGUAAUCUUGACAACUCUUCUUCAAGACAUUUUACACGCUCAAAAGCCCGUUCUUGUGCUCUCCCUAAAACUUCAUGUGAAGAAUCAGGUAAAAGCAUCACUUCCGGCCUUUGAACCUCUGCUAAUUUUUCAGAUUGAGCAUCAGAAGAAACAACUGUAUGCUCUUCAAAGAGCUUUUUGUACAUCGCCACAGAUGCAUGAAGUGAUUUAAUCAUCGUAGCCUGCUCAUCUGCUUUUGCCAGUACUGCAUUAACCUGGGAGGUAGCUUUGUCAACAUGCUUCUGAAGCUCCUUCUCAUACUUCUCCUUCAACUCUGACUCUCUGUUCUCAAUCUGAUCGGUAAGGCUCCGAACUAGGCCUCUUAGCUGGACAUUUUGUUCAACCAGGCCAUUUAUGUCCUUGUAGCUCAACAGCCUUCCAACAUCAUCAGCAUUAGAUUCAGCACCAAACAUAAUUAAAGAACUUGACACCACAGAUUUGUCAUUUUUAGGUCCCACCGAUCCACCACGGAGUUGUAUAUCACGACAUUCCUUUAAAAGCACUGUCACCUGUUCCUGGAGGUCAACUAUCUCUGCCUGAGCAACAGCAUAAUCACGAUCACGCCUUCUCAUAUCAGCAUUGAAUUCCUGAAUAUUCCUCUCUAAAGCAGCUUGCUGAGAGAGGGAAUGCUGCAGCUUUUCACUUAGCACAGAGUAAGCAUCUUCCAAUCUUUGAUGCUCCGCUCGCUCAUCCAAGAUAACUCCAGCUUUCUCCUCUAUUUCACAGAGUACUCGCUCCAGUACAUCUUGAGCUUGUUUUCUUCCCAAUUGUUCAUGUCGUAAUGCAUCAACAGUUUCCUGAUAUUUGGUGUACAUCUUAGACAGACUCCAACCCUCCCGAAGAAGUGAAGCGGCUAAUGCGGUUCCUGAAACACCAAUAGGCAGACUAGGUACGACCAUCCGAUCAUCCUCAACCAUGUCACCAGCUUCAGCUGAGUUUGGCAAUGAUUCACUAGAAAAAUAACUCAAAGGAAGAAGCUUCAAUGUAUCUUCUCCUUUUUUUAAUUCCGCUUCACUUUCCGCAAGCUUAUUUUUCAAACAUGCAACCUCCUCCUUUAGUUCUAUCUUUGCA